RNAcentral lists this ribosomal RNA (496 nucleotides) under uncultured bacterium. Its description in RNAcentral is "partial 16S ribosomal RNA". It matches the Rfam family "Bacterial small subunit ribosomal RNA", at positions 29 to 507 of the family's 1533-position model. The record is from RNAcentral.
AUGAACGCUGGCGGCGUGCCUAAUACAUGCAAGUCGAGCGAACAGACGAGGAAUUUACUCCUCUGACGUUAGCGGCGGACGGGUGAGUAACACGUGGAUAACCUACCUAUAAGACUGGGAUAACUUCGGGAAACCGGAGCUAAUACCGGAUAACAUGUUGAACCGCAUGGUUCAACAGUGAAAGACGGUCUUGCUGUCACUUAUAGAUGGAUCCGCGUCGCAUUAGCUAGUUGGUAAGGUAACGGCUUACCAAGGCAACGAUGCGUAGCCGACCUGAGAGGGUGAUCGGCCACACUGGAACUGAGACACGGUCCAGACUCCUACGGGAGGCAGCAGUAGGGAAUCUUCCGCAAUGGGCGAAAGCCUGACGGAGCAACGCCGCGUGAGUGAAGAAGGUCUUCGGAUCGUAAAACUCUGUUAUUAGGGAAGAACAAAUGUGUAAGUAACUAUGCACGUCUUGACGGUACCUAAUCAGAAAGCCACGGCUAACUACGUG